UGAACGCUAGCGACAGGCUUAACACAUGCAAGUACGAGGGGUAACAGGGUAGCAAUACCGCUGACGACCGGCGCACGGGUGAGUAACGCGUAUGCAACCUGCCUAUAACUGGGGAAUAGCUCCCUGAAAGGGGGAAUUAACACCGCAUAAUACUAUUGAUUCGCAUGGAUUAGUAGUUAAAUGUAGCGAUACAGGUUAUAGAUGGGCAUGCGUGACACUAGCUAGUUGGUGAGGUAACGGCUCACCAAGGCUACGAUGUCUAGGGGUUCUGAGAGGAAGGUCCCCCACACUGGUACUGAGACACGGACCAGACUCCUACGGGAGGCAGCAGUGAGGAAUAUUGGUCAAUGGGCGCAAGCCUGAACCAGCCAUGUCGCGUGCAGGAAGACUGCCCUAUGGGUUGUAAACUGCUUUUAUAGUAGAAGAAACACAUCUACGUGUAGAUGUCUGCCAGUAUACUAUGAAUAAGCAUCGGCUAACUCCGUGCCAGCAGCCGC
RNAcentral lists this ribosomal RNA (497 nucleotides) under uncultured bacterium. Its description in RNAcentral is "bacterial SSU rRNA". It matches the Rfam family "Bacterial small subunit ribosomal RNA", at positions 30 to 518 of the family's 1533-position model. The record is from RNAcentral.